This 495-nucleotide ribosomal RNA is filed under the name Penicillium sp. TC2-020. RNAcentral describes it as "eukaryotic LSU rRNA". The stretch from base 131 to 284 matches the Rfam family "5.8S ribosomal RNA". Lineage: Eukaryota; Fungi; Ascomycota; Eurotiomycetes; Eurotiales; Aspergillaceae. The record is from RNAcentral.
UGUACCUUGUUGCUUCGGUGCGCCCGCCUCACGGCCGCCGGGGGGCUUCUGCCCCCGGGUCCGCGCGCACCGGAGACACCAUUGAACUCUGUCUGAAGAUUGCAGUCUGAGCAUAAACUAAAUAAGUUAAAACUUUCAACAACGGAUCUCUUGGUUCCGGCAUCGAUGAAGAACGCAGCGAAAUGCGAUAACUAAUGUGAAUUGCAGAAUUCAGUGAAUCAUCGAGUCUUUGAACGCACAUUGCGCCCCCUGGUAUUCCGGGGGGCAUGCCUGUCCGAGCGUCAUUGCUGCCCUCAAGCACGGCUUGUGUGUUGGGCUCCGUCCCCCCGGGGACGGGUCCGAAAGGCAGCGGCGGCACCGAGUCCGGUCCUCGAGCGUAUGGGGCUUUGUCACCCGCUCUGUAGGCCCGGCCGGCGCCAGCCGACAACCAAUCAUCCUUUUUUCAGGUUGACCUCGGAUCAGGUAGGGAUACCCGCUGAACUUAAGCAUAUCAAU